RNAcentral lists this ribosomal RNA (465 nucleotides) under uncultured Paucisalibacillus sp. Its description in RNAcentral is "bacterial SSU rRNA". It matches the Rfam family "Bacterial small subunit ribosomal RNA", at positions 338 to 795 of the family's 1533-position model. Lineage: Bacteria; Bacillati; Bacillota; Bacilli; Caryophanales; Bacillaceae. The record is from RNAcentral.
CCUACGGGCGGCAGCAGUAGGGAAUCUUCCGCAAUGGACGAAAGUCUGACGGAGCAACGCCGCGCGAGCGAUGAAGGCCUUCGGGUCGUAAAGCUCUGUUGUUAGGGAAGAACAAGUAUCGGAGUAACUGCCGGUACCUUGACGGUACCUAACCAGAAAGCCACGGCUAACUACGUGCCAGCAGCCGCGGUAAUACGUAGGUGGCAAGCGUUGUCCGGAAUUAUUGGGCGUAAAGCGCGCGCAGGCGGUCCUUGAAGUAUGAUGUGAAAGUCAACGGGUCAACCGUGCAGGAUCAGUGGAAACUGGGGGAGUUGAGUACAGAAGAGGAAAGCGAAAUUCCACGUGUAGCUGUGAAAUGCGUAGAGAUGUGGAGGAACACAAGUGGCGAAGGAGGAUUUCUGGUCUGUAACUGACGCUGAGGCGCGAAAGCGUGGUGAGCAAACAGGAUUAGAUACCCCAGUAGUC